RNAcentral lists this signal recognition particle RNA (99 nucleotides) under Spirochaetaceae bacterium 4572_59. RNAcentral describes it as "signal recognition particle sRNA small type". It matches the Rfam family "Bacterial small signal recognition particle RNA". Rfam says of the family: The signal recognition particle (SRP) is a universally conserved ribonucleoprotein involved in the co-translational targeting of proteins to membranes. Archaeal SRP consists of a 7S RNA and homologues of the eukaryotic SRP19 and SRP54 proteins. Lineage: Bacteria; Pseudomonadati; Spirochaetota; Spirochaetia; Spirochaetales; Spirochaetaceae. The record is from RNAcentral.
CUCCAGGAACCAUGCAAUUGAAUGUCGCCCAACCCGGUCAGAAUCGGAAGGUAGCAGCCGUAAGUGAUUAUUCACUGUGUUAUGGAUCUCUUGGUGUUA